RNAcentral lists this non-coding RNA (787 nucleotides) under Mecopoda niponensis. RNAcentral describes it as "12S ribosomal RNA". The stretch from base 370 to 780 matches the Rfam family "Microsporidia small subunit ribosomal RNA", at positions 752 to 1303 of the family's 1311-position model. The record is from RNAcentral. Lineage: Eukaryota; Metazoa; Arthropoda; Insecta; Orthoptera; Tettigoniidae.
AAAGUUUUAUUCUGGCUUAAUAGUUUAUUUUUGGGAUGUUUUACAUGUAAAUAUUUGUGAAUUAAUUAGUAAUCUAAAUGAUAAUUAUAGAUAGCAGUAUUUAAUAUUAGUAAUCAAGGUGACUUGGAAUUAGUAAUUUCAUAUGAAAUCGGUUAAAAGCGUGCCAGCUGCCGCGGUUAGACGUAGGAUAUAAGUAAACGUUUUAAGUUGAGAGUUAAUUUGAUAAGAAUUUAAGUUUAAAAUUGAUUUACAUAGGUAAAAUUAAGAAUAAUUGAUAUAAUUUAAGUUAAUAAAAUGAAGCUCUGAAAUUUCAGAAAUUAAACUAGGAUUAGAUACCCUAUUAUUUGAAAUAUAAAUAUUUAAAAGCUUGAGUAGUAAGAGUUAAGGGCUUGAAACUCAAAGAAUUUGGCGGUGUUUUAACCUAGUCAGAGGAAUCUGUCCCGUAAUUGAUAUUACACGUUAUAUUUUACUUGAUUUUGUAAUUUCAGUUUGUAUACCGCCGUCAUAAGAUUAUUCUUUGAGGAUAAUAAUUUUCUUUAUGUUAAUAAAAAUUUGUGUCAGGUCAAGGUGCAGCUAAUAAUUAAGUGGGAGAUGGAUUACAAUAGAAUUAUUUAUAACGGAAAUUAUAUUGAAAAAUAUGGUAAGAAGGUGGAUUUGAAAGUAAAAUUGUUAGAUUAUGAUAAUUUGACUUUAGCUCUAAAACAUGUACACAUCGCCCGUCGCUCUCAUUUUAAGGUGAGAUAAGUCGUAACAUAGUAGAUGUACUGGAAAGUGUAUCUAGAAAGUU